GAGUCAUUGGGACUCUGUUAAACCUAAAGGCGCAAUGAAAGUAAAGGUCCGCCUCGCGCGGACCGAGGGAGGAUGGGCCCGUCCCCGGACGGGCCCCGCACUCCCGGGGCGUCUCGUCCUCAUCGCGAGGAGAGGCGCACCCAGAGCGUACACGCUGGGACCCGAAAGAUGGUGAACUAUGCCUGGUCAGGACGAAGUCAGGGGAAACCCUGAUGGAGGUCCGUAGCGAUUCUGACGUGCAAAUCGAUCGUCGGAACUGGGUAUAGG
RNAcentral lists this ribosomal RNA (267 nucleotides) under Nanos sp. 1 HKW-2010. RNAcentral's name for it is "partial 28S ribosomal RNA". It matches the Rfam family "Eukaryotic large subunit ribosomal RNA", at positions 688 to 921 of the family's 3401-position model. Lineage: Eukaryota; Metazoa; Arthropoda; Insecta; Coleoptera; Scarabaeidae. The record is from RNAcentral.